UGGGGAAUUUUGGACAAUGGGCGCAAGCCUGAUCCAGCCAUUCCGCGUGCAGGAUGAAGGCCCUCGGGUUGUAAACUGCUUUUGUACGGAACGAAACGGCGCUUUCUAAUACAGGACGCUAAUGACGGUACCGUAAGAAUAAGCACCGGCUAACUACGUGCCAGCAGCCGCGGUAAUACGUAGGGUGCAAGCGUUAAUCGGAAUUACUGGGCGUAAAGCGUGCGCAGGCGGUGAUGUAAGACAGAUGUGAAAUCCCCGGGCUCAACCUGGGAACUGCAUUUGUGACUGCAUCGCUGGAGUGCGGCAGAGGAGACUGGAAUUCCUGGUGUAGCAGUGAAAUGCGUAGAUAUCAGGAGGAAUACCGAUGGCGAAGGCAGGUCUCUGGGCUGACACUGACGCUCAUGCACGAAAGCGUGGGGAGCAAAC
RNAcentral lists this ribosomal RNA (426 nucleotides) under uncultured bacterium. RNAcentral's name for it is "bacterial SSU rRNA". It matches the Rfam family "Bacterial small subunit ribosomal RNA", at positions 355 to 773 of the family's 1533-position model. The record is from RNAcentral.